Molecule: long non-coding RNA, 2241 nt
Filed under: Sus scrofa (pig)
Lineage: Eukaryota; Metazoa; Chordata; Mammalia; Artiodactyla; Suidae
Description: lncRNA (ENSSSCG00070017726.1)
Source: RNAcentral
UUGGAAUAUGCUUAAAAAUAUCAGUUUGUCCUGUGCAAAAUUUUUCAGGAAUACUCCAGAAUAAUUGUUAUUUACUUAUAUAUAUUAUUUAUUAUGUUAUUUACUUACUGUAUAUAUAUAUAUACACACACAUAUAUAUAACAGAAAAAAGGGCAAAUACAUAUCAAAUAACAUUGUAUCCUGAGACCAUGACAAAAAGACAUUUUAUUCCUCUUUUUUUUAUGGCUGCACCUGCAGCAUACAGAAGUUCCUGGGCUAGGGGUAGAAGUGGAGCUACAGCUGCCACCUAUACCACAGCCACAGCAAUGCCAGAUCUGAGCCACAUCUGUGACCUAUGCCACAGCUUGUGGAUUCUUAACCCACUGAGUAAGGCCAGGGAUUGGAACUUCAUCCUCAUGGAGACGUCAGGUUCUUAUUCCACUGAGGCCAUAAUGGGAACUCCAAAAAGACAUUUUAAAAUAGAGCUGUUUUUCUUUGCUAACUCAACUGUUCCCUAGUCAUUUUUUUCCUUUCCUCCUAGGUUUCUGAGAUCUCAUUCUUCUCAGCUUGGCUCCAAGGUUAGAUCCUCUCCGAGAGCUUCUGAUCUCACAUGAAUCCUCAUCCUUCCCCUGAGAUCCCACUGUAUUGCUUUCAUUUCUUUGUGCAUGUGGUGCCCAUAUUGAGCUGAAAUGACUUGCUUAUACCCUGUCUUCUCCAUUAGACUGAGGACUCCUUGGGGCCAAAGACUGUGGCUUAUGUACUGGUCCAAUGUUCAGCUCUGUGUGCAGCAGGUGCUCAGACAGUGCUGGAGGGCCUGUCUUUUGAAUCUGUCUGCUGUUCUUUCCUUUGCUCUUCAUUUCAACAUGUCUUUUCCUCUUACUCUUUGUGAUUUUCACUUGAUCCUUUUGAGUUUUGAUUCCAAAGUUCUUAAGAGACAGAGAUCCUAUUGGCUGGUGCAAGACCAUAGCAGUUGUGUGUGUGUGUGUGUGUGUGAGAGAGAGAGAGAGAGAGAGAGAGAGAGGGAGAGGGAGAGGGAGAGGGAGAGGGAGAGGGAGAGGGAGAGGGAGAGGGAGAGGGAGAGCGCUGAGUCACUGUCUCCCAUUUCUGGCUUUGCUUCUCACAUCCACAACCCAUGUGCUCUACUUCCAUUUUUUCCUCUCAUUCCUGUUCCAAGCACAUCUGAAGGUCAAAAGGAGCAUCUCGGAAUCCUCAAGAAACAAGAAGAAAACACACUUGGAUUUUCAAAUAUCUCGAUAUUUUAACUGUGUUUUUUAAAAAAGGAUAAACAGCUCUUUUAAUCAGAAAAAGUUCAGGCAUUAUAGUAUAAAUGAAAGAAUCUCAGUCAAAAAAGCUCAACAUUCGACUAUCUGGACAGCAAUAGAGCAUGCACUCAAAGUGAAAAGAAAAUGACAUGAUGCUUAAACAAUGUUUUAAAGUCCCCCCUGCCACCCAUUUUAGGGGGAGGGGGCAUGGGGAGGAGCUUGGAUGAUGAAAGUAAGAGCAUCUCAAGGGUGGAUGAAGACAUUAAAAGUGAGCAAUAUCCAGUUGCUUCCAGCUGGCUGGCCUGUUUUAACCCAGGGGAAAAAAAAUGGCAUUGGUAACUAGUUUUGUUUCUCUUUACCAUCGGAAAAAUAUUCAGAGAAAAACACUUCUUAUUCAUUUGGCAAAUAUUUACUGAGCUCCAAUCAUGUGCUAGGUACUAUUCUAAAUGAUAAUUAAACAGCUGUGAACCUGCCUGGCCCCUAUAGUUUUGAGGAUACUAAGUACAGGUCACUUUGGCCAUCAAAUUCAGUGUCAUUUUCAGUUCCACAGAAGUCCCUUAAAUGCUGAGCUACAGAGGUGGAUUCUUAGUAAAACCAAAGAAUUUUAAGCUUCAUAGUUGCUUACUUUUAUGGGCCUUUCCUGUGCAUCCUCCUCAAGAAUUUAGUACUCAUUUCAAUACAUGGGCCACUGCUCAUGAAUUAUGAAUUAUAGGUGAGCUCAAUGGGUUGCCAGUAACCCUUUCAUUUUGGCUGGCCCCCAGUGACAUUCUACAUUGUGUGGGGGCUUCCCCAGGUAUCCCAAACCCAACUCUGGCAUCAAGAAGAUUCUUUUUUUUUCCUUUUAACGAUUUUUAUUUUUCUAUUAUAGUUGGUUUAGAGUGUUCUGUCAAUUUUCUGCUGAACAGCAAAGUGACCCAGUCACACAUGCAUAUAUAUACAUUCUUUUUUUCUCACAUUAUCCUCCACAGUGCUCCAGCAUAAGUGACUAGAUAUACUUCCC